Molecule: unclassified non-coding RNA, 337 nt
Filed under: soil metagenome
Description: partial contains 5.8S ribosomal RNA, internal transcribed spacer 2, and large subunit ribosomal RNA
Rfam family: 5.8S ribosomal RNA (bases 1-120)
Source: RNAcentral
GAUGAAGAACGUAGCGAAAUGCGAUAAGUAGUGUGAAUUGCAGAAUUCAGUGAAUCAUCGAAUCUUUGAACGCACAUUGCGCCCCUUGGUAUUCCAUGGGGCAUGCCUGUUCGAGCGUCAUUUGUACCUUCAAGCUCUGCUUGGUGUUGGGUGUUUGUCUCGCCUCUGCGUGUAGACUCGCCUCAAAACAAUUGGCAGCCGGCGUAUUGAUUUCGGAGCGCAGUACAUCUCGCGCUUUGCACUCAUAACAACGACGUCCAAAAGUACAUUUUUACACUCUUGACCUCGGAUCAGGUAGGGAUACCCGCUGAACUUAAGCAUAUCAAUAAGCGGAGGA